RNAcentral lists this ribosomal RNA (976 nucleotides) under Clostridioides difficile. RNAcentral describes it as "bacterial LSU rRNA". It matches the Rfam family "Bacterial large subunit ribosomal RNA", at positions 683 to 1665 of the family's 2925-position model. Lineage: Bacteria; Bacillati; Bacillota; Clostridia; Peptostreptococcales; Peptostreptococcaceae. The record is from RNAcentral.
UUUAACUGAGCGUUCAGUUACUUGACGUAGACCCGAAACCGGGCGACCUACCCAUGAGCAGGAUGAAGCGAAAGUAAAAUUUCGUGGAGGUCCGAACCCACGAGCGUUGAAAAGCGCGGGGAUGACUUGUGGGUAGCGGGGAAAUUCCAAUCGAGCCCGGAGAUAGCUGGUUCUCCCCGAAAUAGCUUUAGGGCUAGCCUCAAGGUGAGAGAUACGGAGGUAGAGCACUGAAUGUCCUAGGGGGUAUUGCACCUACCGAAGACUAUCAAACUCCGAAUGCCGUCAUCUUAUACUUGGGAGUCAGACUGUGGGUGAUAAGAUUCAUAGUCGAAAGGGCAACAGCCCAGAUCGUCAGCUAAGGUCCCUAAAUGUAAGUUAAGUGGUAAAGGAUGUGGGAUUGCACAGACAACCAGGAUGUUGGCUUAGAAGCAGCCACUCAUUCAAAGAGUGCGUAAUAGCUCACUGGUCGAGUGAUCCUGCGCCGAAGAUUUCCGGGGCUAAAACUUACUACCGAAGCUACGGCAUCAGUAAUGAUGGGUAGGGGAGCUUCCCAUACGGGUUGAAGCAUGACCGUAAGGACAUGUGGACAGUAUGGGAGUGAGAAUGUUGGCAUGAGUAGCGAGAUGUGGGUGGGAAUCCCACAGGCCGUAAACCCAAGGUUUCCAGGGGAAGGUUCGUCCGCCCUGGGUUAGUCGGGACCUAAGCUGAGGCCGAAAGGCGUAGGUGAUGGACAACAGGUUGAUAUUCCUGUACUACCGAUAACCGUUUGAGAGAAGGGAUGACACAGUAGGAUAAGCUAAGCACACUGUUGGUUAUGUGUGCCCAAGCAUUGAGGCAGUCAAAGUAGGCAAAUCCGCUUUGAUAAUGCUGGGAUGUGAUGGGGAGCGAAAUUUAGUAGCGAAGUAGCUGAUUUCACACUGUCAAGAAAAGUCUCUAUCGAGGUUAAAGGUACCCGUACCGCAAACCGACACAGGUG